UGGGGAAUUUUGGACAAUGGGCGAAAGCCUGAUCCAGCAAUGCCGCGUGUGUGAAGAAGGCCUUCGGGUUGUAAAGCACUUUUGUCCGGAAAGAAAUCCUUGGCUCUAAUACAGUCGGGGGAUGACGGUACCGGAAGAAUAAGCACCGGCUAACUACGUGCCAGCAGCCGCGGUAAUACGUAGGGUGCAAGCGUUAAUCGGAAUUACUGGGCGUAAAGCGUGCGCAGGCGGUUUGCUAAGACCGAUGUGAAAUCCCCGGGCUCAACCUGGGAACUGCAUUGGUGACUGGCAGGCUAGAGUAUGGCAGAGGGGGGUAGAAUUCCACGUGUAGCAGUGAAAUGCGUAGAGAUGUGGAGGAAUACCGAUGGCGAAGGCAGCCCCCUGGGCCAAUACUGACGCUCAUGCACGAAAAGGCGUGGGGGAGCAAAACAGGAUUAGAUACCCCUGGGUAGUCCACGCCCUAAAACGAUGUCAACUAGUUGUUGGGGAUUCAUUUCCUUAGUAACGUAGCUAACGCGUGAAGUUGACCGCCUGGGGAGUACGGUCGCAAGAUUAAAACUCAAAUGGAAUUGACGGGGUCAUAGCUGUUUCCU
This 593-nucleotide ribosomal RNA is filed under the name uncultured bacterium. RNAcentral's name for it is "partial 16S ribosomal RNA". It matches the Rfam family "Bacterial small subunit ribosomal RNA", at positions 355 to 1375 of the family's 1533-position model. The record is from RNAcentral.